This 229-nucleotide ribosomal RNA is filed under the name uncultured bacterium. RNAcentral's name for it is "partial 16S ribosomal RNA". It matches the Rfam family "Bacterial small subunit ribosomal RNA", at positions 568 to 796 of the family's 1533-position model. The record is from RNAcentral.
CGUGUAGGCGGUCUUCCAAGUCGGGUGUGAAAGCCCUCGGCUCAACCGAGGAAUUGCAUCCGAUACUGGUCGACUAGAGUGCGGCAGGGGUGAGUGGAACUCCAGGUGUAGCGGUGAAAUGCGUAGAUAUCUGGAGGAACGCCAAUGGCGAAAGCAACUCACUGGGCCGCAACUGACGCUGAGGCGCGAAAGCUAGGGGAGCGAACAGGAUUAGAUACCCUGGUAGUCC